This 463-nucleotide ribosomal RNA is filed under the name uncultured bacterium. Its description in RNAcentral is "bacterial SSU rRNA". It matches the Rfam family "Bacterial small subunit ribosomal RNA", at positions 335 to 795 of the family's 1533-position model. The record is from RNAcentral.
ACUCCUACGGGAGGCAGCAGUGAGGAAUAUUGGUCAAUGGGCGGAAGCCUGAACCAGCCAUGCCGCGUGCGGGAUGAAGGCCCUACGGGUUGUAAACCGCUUUUCCCCGGGAAGAAUAAGCCCCCCGCGGGGGGUGAUGCCGGUACCGGGGGAGUAAGGAUCGGCUAACUCCGUGCCAGCAGCCGCGGUAAUACGGAGGAUCCGAGCGUUAUCCGGAUUUACUGGGUUUAAAGGGUGCGUAGGCGGCCCUGCAAGUCAGCGGUGAAAUGUGGCGGCUCAACCGUUUCGCUGCCGUUGAUACUGUGGGGCUUGGAUGCGGUCGAGGCGGGUGGAAUUCGUGGUGUAGCGGUGAAAUGCAUAGAUAUCACGAGGAACGCCGAUAGCGAAGGCAGCUCGCCGGGCCGCGAUCGACGCUGAGGCACGAAAGCGUGGGGAUCAAACAGGAUUAGAUACCCUGGUAGUC